Molecule: ribosomal RNA, 468 nt
Filed under: uncultured bacterium
Lineage: Bacteria
Description: partial 16S ribosomal RNA
Rfam family: Bacterial small subunit ribosomal RNA
Source: RNAcentral
GACGAACGCUGGCGGCGUGCUUAACACAUGCAAGUCGAACGGAAAGGCCCUGCUUUUGUGGGGUGCCCGAGUGGCGAACGGGUGAGUAACACGCGAGUAACCUGCCCUUGCCUUUGGGAUAACUUCAGGAAACUCCGGCCAAUACCGUACAGAUGUUCCUGCUCCAGGGUGGGGCUGGGAAAGUUUCGGCGGUUGGGGAUGGACUCGCGGCUUAUUAGCUUGUUGGCGGGGUAGUGGCUUACCAAGGCUUUGACGGGUAGCCGGCCGGGGAGGGUGACCGGCCACAUUGGGACUGAGAUACGGCCCAGACUCCUACGGGAGGCAGCAGUGGGGAAUAUUGCACAAUGGGCGGAAGCCUGAUGCAGCAACGCCGCGUGCGGGAUGACGGCCUUCGGGUUGUAAACCGCUUUCGCCUGUGACGAAGCGUGAGUGACGGUAAUGGGUAAAGAAGCACCGGCUAACUACGUG